This 255-nucleotide ribosomal RNA is filed under the name uncultured bacterium. Its description in RNAcentral is "partial 16S ribosomal RNA". It matches the Rfam family "Bacterial small subunit ribosomal RNA", at positions 524 to 776 of the family's 1533-position model. The record is from RNAcentral.
UACGAGGGGGGCGAGCGUUGUUCGGAAUUAUUGGGCGUAAAGGGUGCGUAGGCGGUUUGGUAAGUCUCGCGUGAAAUCUCCGGGCUCAACUCGGAGCCUGCACGAGAAACUGCCGGGCUUGAAUGUGGGAGAGGUGAGUGGAAUUCCUGGUGUAGCGGUGAAAAUGCGUAGAUAUCAGGAGGAACACCUGUGGCGAAAGCGGCUCACUGGACCAUAACUGACGCUGAUGCACGAAAGCUAGGGGGAGCAAACAGG